GACGAACGCUGGCGGCGUGCCUAAUACAUGCAAGUAGGACGCACAGUCUAUACCGUAGCUUGCUACACCAUAGGCUGUGAGUUGCGAACGGGUGAGUAACGCGUAGGUAACCUGCCUAUUAGAGGGGGAUAACUAUUGGAAACGAUAGCUAAUACCGCAUAACAGUAUGUAACACAUGUUAGAUGCUUGAAAGAUGCAAUUGCAUCGCUAGUAGAUGGACCUGCGUUGUAUUAGCUAGUAGGUAGGGUAAUGGCCUACCUAGGCAACGAUACAUAGCCGACCUGAGAGGGUGAUCGGCCACACUGGGACUGAGACACGGCCCAGACUCCUACGGGAGGCAGCAGUAGGGAAUCUUCGGCAAUGGGGGGAACCCUGACCGAGCAACGCCGCGUGAGUGAAGAAGGUUUUCGAAUCGUAAAGCUCUGUUGUUAAGGAAGAACGAGUGUGAGAAUGGAAAGUUCAUACUGUGAC
RNAcentral lists this ribosomal RNA (471 nucleotides) under Streptococcus anginosus. RNAcentral's name for it is "bacterial SSU rRNA". It matches the Rfam family "Bacterial small subunit ribosomal RNA", at positions 28 to 473 of the family's 1533-position model. Lineage: Bacteria; Bacillati; Bacillota; Bacilli; Lactobacillales; Streptococcaceae. The record is from RNAcentral.